This 92-nucleotide transfer RNA is filed under the name Fidelibacterota bacterium. RNAcentral's name for it is "tRNA-Asn". It matches the Rfam family "tRNA". Rfam says of the family: Transfer RNA (tRNA) molecules are approximately 80 nucleotides in length. Their secondary structure includes four short double-helical elements and three loops (D, anti-codon, and T loops). Lineage: Bacteria; Pseudomonadati; Fidelibacterota. The record is from RNAcentral.
GGACAGAUGGCCGAGUUUGGUCGAAGGCAGCAGGCUGUUAACCUGCCGAGGCGAAAGCCCCACCGUUGGUUCAAAUCCAACUCUGUCCGCCA